Molecule: long non-coding RNA, 974 nt
Organism: Equus quagga
Lineage: Eukaryota; Metazoa; Chordata; Mammalia; Perissodactyla; Equidae
Exons: 3
Source: RefSeq, a predicted model, not a curated record
AAGCCUAGGUCACCUGAGAAGGCUUCUCUGAGGGAGCGAUAUUUUAGGCUGAGAGGUAAAGGAUGGGCAGGGGUUAGCCAGACGAAGAAAGGCGGAAGUGGAGGCCCCGAGGCAGGAAGGAGCUGGUGCACUUGAAACACUGAAAGGAAACGAGUGUGGCUAGGGAGUUGUGAGAAAGAGGAAAGCAGUAAAACCUUAUUGGCCACAUGAAGAAUUCUGGACUCAAAACGGGAAGUCUUCUACAGGCAAGUUUAUUUAAGUAAGGACUAACAGGAUCAGGCUCAAAAUUUUAAAAGAUUACUCUGUCUUCUGUGUGAAAAACGGAUUGGAGAUGAGAUCAACAUAGACUCAGAGGACCAGCUAAGAGACAACCGCAAUUCUUUAAAAGUAACAGACAACGGAGGCCUGUGUUAAGGUGAGAAGACUGAUGCCCAAGCAGGAAGAGAGCCCCGCCUGAGGCCAGAGAGACCUGGUGGCAGAGCUGAGCCAGUGCCUAAUCAGUUCGAGCAGAUGAUUUCAGAAACACUUGACAAACUGAAUAAAAUAACCACUUCUCAGGGCUACUGUAGAGGAGAUUCCAUGUCACAGCGUGGUCUGAAAUGACUUCAGACAACAGAUGGCAUCAAGAGAGAAUUGGCAUUUACUCGUGAUUAUGAUUUGUUGUUCUACAUCUUGCUCUGUGUGUCAGGUCAAACCAUUCUCAGAGGAGGACCAAGGGAAGAACCAGACCUAGUUCCUGACCUGGAGGGCAGAACAGCUCCAAAAUCAACUACGACUCUCUGGGAUAGGAGCUGUGAUCAGAGAAUGUACAAAAGACUAUGGAAAAUGACUAGGACGGAAAAUGUGGUAUAUACAUACAGUGGAAUAUUAUUCAGCCCUAAAAAGCAAGGAAAUUCUGACACAUUACAACAUAGGUGAACCUUGAAGACCUUAUGCUGAGAGAAAUAAGCCAGUCACAAAGGACAAAUAUUGUA